GAUGAACGCUGGCGGCGUGCUUAACACAUGCAAGUCGAACGGAGCUAUGACACGGAGUCUUCGGAUGAAGUGCUGUAGCUUAGUGGCGGACGGGUGAGUAACACGUGAGCAACCUACCUUUUGCAGGGGAAUAACUCUGGGAAACCAGAGCUAAUACCGCAUGCCGUGCGCUUGGGGCAUCCCAGGUGCAUGAAAGGAGCAAUCCGGCAGAAGAUGGGCUCGCGUCCGAUUAGGUAGUUGGAGAGGUAACGGCUCCCCAAGCCGACGAUCGGUAGCCGGACUGAGAGGUCGAUCGGCCACAUUGGGACUGAGACACGGCCCAGACUCCUACGGGAGGCAGCAGUGGGGAAUAUUGGGCAAUGGGCGGAAGCCUGACCCAGCGACGCCGCGUGAAGGAGGAAGGCUUUCGAGUUGUAAACUUCUUUGGGAGGGACGAAGAUGACGGUACCUCCAGAACAAGCCACGGCUAACUACGUGCCAGCAGCCGCGGU
RNAcentral lists this ribosomal RNA (491 nucleotides) under uncultured bacterium. RNAcentral describes it as "bacterial SSU rRNA". It matches the Rfam family "Bacterial small subunit ribosomal RNA", at positions 28 to 521 of the family's 1533-position model. The record is from RNAcentral.